GGGGAAUAUUGCACAAUGGGCAAAAGCCUGAUGCAGCAACGCCGCGUGAGGGAAGACGGUUUUCGGAUUGUAAACCUCUGUUUUCGGUGACGAACAAAUGACGGUAACCGAGUAGGAAGCCAUGGCUAACUACGUGCCAGCAGCCGCGGUAAUACGUAGGUGGCAAGCGUUAUCCGGAAUUACUGGGUGUAAAGGGAGCGCAGGCGGGAUAGCAAGUCAGCUGUGAAAACUAUGGGCUCAACCCAUAAACUGCAGUUGAAACUGUUAUUCUUGAGUGGAGUAGAGGCAAGCGGAAUUCCGAGUGUAGCGGUGAAAUGCGUAGAUAUUCGGAGGAACACCAGUGGCGAAGGCGGCUUGCUGGGCUCUAACUGACGCUGAGGCUCGAAAGUGUGGGGAGCAAAC
This 402-nucleotide ribosomal RNA is filed under the name uncultured bacterium. RNAcentral's name for it is "bacterial SSU rRNA". It matches the Rfam family "Bacterial small subunit ribosomal RNA", at positions 356 to 773 of the family's 1533-position model. The record is from RNAcentral.